CAAUAGCCCCGAUAGUAGCGGCAUCCUUUUUUGCUAAGGGAAAGCCAUGGCAAAAAAAGAUAUAGCGGAUAGCGGGAUCAAGC
This 83-nucleotide small RNA is filed under the name Epilithonimonas hungarica. RNAcentral describes it as "Chryseobacterium hungaricum Flavo-1 RNA". It matches the Rfam family "Flavo-1 RNA". Lineage: Bacteria; Pseudomonadati; Bacteroidota; Flavobacteriia; Flavobacteriales; Weeksellaceae. The record is from RNAcentral.